Phyllostomus discolor (pale spear-nosed bat) is the source of this 1545-nucleotide long non-coding RNA. RefSeq lists it as uncharacterized. The record is from RefSeq and is a predicted model, not a curated record. The transcript has 3 exons. Lineage: Eukaryota; Metazoa; Chordata; Mammalia; Chiroptera; Phyllostomidae.
GUGGAAUCCUGCUGUGUGUGAGCAUCCAUGUCAACUUUAGUACCUGGGAUGUUUUCUUUUGUAAAAUAACUAUACCAGCAAUUAAAAAAUGUUGAAAUGAUUGCUCAUUCCACAAAUGACUGAUCAACUUGCAAACACCAUCAAAUCUGAAUUACUUUCAUGGAGAAUGUGGGUAGAAAGGGGAGGCAAGAAUCAAGAUCCCUGAUAUCUAGGAGCUCGCAGAGUAUAUGGGAAUACAGAAUACAGGUUUUAAAAAUGCAGGUUAAUGCUUUGGCUGGUGUGGCUCUGUGGAUUGAGAGCCGGCCUGCAAACCAAAGGGUCAUUGAUUGGAUUUCCAGUCAGGCCCCUUGCAAUGUGACAUUGAUGCUCCUUCUGUCAAGAGAAGAUGAUUUCUCCAUGUCAUUGAAUUUGGGGCAGGCUCCUGACCACUUUCACUAAUGGAAGGUGGCUAGAGACUGAGACCUCCAUGUUGUGAAGAAACCUGGGUGUAGCUUACUGGAGCUCCACAUGGAGAAGGACUGAGCUCCCAGCCAUAUGAAUGGGGCCAUCAUGGAUAGCCAGGACCCGCUGAAGCCAUCAGUGAGGCAGCCCUGUGUAUAAGCCUAGGGAAGACAAGAAGCAGAACUUCCCAUAUUGCUAACCAGCAGAAUUGUGAGAAAUAAUAACUGGUCACUGAGUUGUGGGGUAUUUUUUUUUUUCACAGAAACAGGUAAUCCAAACAACUAAACUAUAAAAGGGAUUGCUUGUUGAAGAAAACUUAACCAGUUAAUCUGAAACUGUCCAAACACUAAUCAAAGAGGAAAUAAGAGUCUACUUGUAUGUAUUUAAAAUUUACAAGAAAUACAAUAGAAUGAUAAUUUGUAAGUGAAAAUUUUUAAAAAUUGAAAUGAAUUUUUAAAAUUUUACAUCUUUAAUAAAUUGUGUAUUACUUUGAAAUAUGGUUAGUCAUCCUUUCUUUUGACUUCAUCAGACAUAUUAGUGAAGCCCCUACUCAAAAGCCUGCUACUCUGGAACCCUGUUCAGGGAGGGCGCACCCAAUUACCAGUGUCUGGAAGUAUGAGCUGCUAACAUCUUAUAGCUUCCCUCUUCCCCAGAAUGACCCCAAUCCCACAUAACCCUUUCCCCAGAGAUUUCUUGGAGGUGGAGCCAGCCCAUACCCCUGCUGGACUAACAGUGACAAAAAAAGCUAGUUCCCUGGCCUCUGCCAGGUAGAGCAGACAGCCAGAUGGAAUUUCUGCUCCACACAGCUUCAGCUGUGGAUCAGGCAAAACUGAACUCCAAAGGAAUCUCCUAUUCACCCACAUUUCCCACCUGCUCCUGCCUCCUUCAGCUUUCUCCUGAAAGCUUUUCCCAUGAUAAAGCACCUGGUGAGAAUCCCCAUCUCAGGCUCUGCCUUCAGGACACCAGCUAAAGUCAAGCUUAUAAAGUGGUAGGGAUGGUCACAGAUUUCCUAACUUGGACCAGGCUUGCCAUUUGGAGGAGAAACCCUACUUGGUGUGAGUUUAUUUUUUCUUUAAUAUGUUUUUGUGUUGCAUGUGAUAGUAU